CCGAGUCUCGUACUCACCAAACCCCUGUGAACAUACCAGUGUUGCUUCGGCGGUCGACCCCUCCGCCUCCCCCUCACCGGGGCGGCGCGGGGUUCCGCCAGAGGACCCUACAAAAACCCUGUUUUCUUAGAAAGGAUUCCGCUCUGAGUAACAAAAAAAAAACCAUUA
Molecule: unclassified non-coding RNA, 168 nt
Filed under: uncultured Campylocarpon
Lineage: Eukaryota; Fungi; Ascomycota; Sordariomycetes; Hypocreales; Nectriaceae
Description: sequence contains ITS1
Source: RNAcentral